UGGGUAUUGCCAUGCACUUACGGCCA
RNAcentral lists this non-coding RNA (26 nucleotides) under Homo sapiens (human). The record is from RNAcentral. Lineage: Eukaryota; Metazoa; Chordata; Mammalia; Primates; Hominidae.